This 639-nucleotide ribosomal RNA is filed under the name uncultured bacterium. RNAcentral describes it as "bacterial SSU rRNA". It matches the Rfam family "Bacterial small subunit ribosomal RNA", at positions 772 to 1409 of the family's 1533-position model. The record is from RNAcentral.
CCAGGAUUAGAUGCUCUGGUAGUACUCCCCGUAAUCGAUGAAUGCUAGGAGGUGUGGAGCAAAGCUGUUCGGCGGCGCCGCAACCGCAUCAAGCAUUACUCCUGGGGAGGAGGUACGCAAGAAUGAAGCUCAAAGGAAUAGUCGGGGAGGCGCACAACCGGUGGAGCAUGUGGUGUAAUUAGAAGCAACGCGAAGAAGCUUAUCAGGUCUUGACAUCACGAUGGUCGGCGCGUAGCGGGGCCUUCUCUUCGGAGCAUCGGAGACAGGUGGUGCAUGGUGGUCGUCAUCUCGUGUCGUGAGAUGAUGGGGUAAGUAGCGCAACGAGCGCAACCCUUAUCCUCAGUAGUCAGCAGGUAAAGCUGGGCACUCUGUGGAGAGUGCCAGGGAUAUCCUGGAGGAAGGGGGGGAGGACGUCAAAUCAUCACGCCCCUUAUGAUAUGGGGUACACACGCGCUACAAUGGGGUAAACAAAGGGAGGCAAAACCGCGAGGGGGAGCAAAUAUCAAAAAUAACGUGUCAGUUCGGGGUGCAGUGUGCACCUCGAGUGCACGAAGACUGGAAUCGCUAGUGAUCGCGAGUCAGAACGUCGCGGGGAAUACGUUUCCGGGUCUUGUGCACACCGCCCGUCACGCCACGGGA